GUGAACUACACCUUAAAGUUCUUUUUCUAUUCUACUGGGUUGCUACUAUAUAUAGUUAUGUGUCACUGAUGGAUUGUGAGAGCUCACUAGGGUUUCUCAAGAUCGACAAUUCUUGAUGAGUUAGAGUAAAAUUAUUCCAACCCAUUGAAAAGAGUUUCAAUGAUACUAUGAUAGAGAUCAUUAUAUAUCUCACUACCGGAUAGAAUUGAACCUAUGGGGUCAUACAAUAAAGGGA
RNAcentral lists this long non-coding RNA (235 nucleotides) under Elaeis guineensis (African oil palm). Its description in RNAcentral is "long non-coding RNA (EGUI_LNC046074)". Lineage: Eukaryota; Viridiplantae; Streptophyta; Magnoliopsida; Arecales; Arecaceae. The record is from RNAcentral.